GCGUCGGAACGCACCGAGUAAUGGGGGAUAACGCAGCGAAAGUUGUGCUAAUACCGCAUACGCUCCGAGGAGGAAAGCGGGGGAUCUUAGGACCUCGCGUUAUUCGAGCGGCCGACGUCUGAUUAGCUAGUUGGUGGGGAAAGGUCCCACCAAGGGCCAACGAUCAGUAGCGGGUCUGAGAGGAUGAUCCGCCACACUGGGACUGAGACACGGCCCAGACUCCUACGGGAGGCAGCAGUGGGGAAUUUUGGACAAUGGGCGCAAGCCUGAUCCAGCCAUGCCGCGUGUCUGAAGAAGGCCUUCGGGUUGUAAAGGACUUUUUGUCAGGGAGCAAAUGCUGGUGGCUAAUACCCACCGGAGCUGAGAGUACCUGAAGAAUAAGCACCGGCUAACUACGUGCCAGCAGCCGCGGUAAUACGUAGGUGCAAGCGUUAAUCGGGAAUUACUGGCGUAAAGCGUGCGCAGCCGGUGUGCAAGUCUGAU
This 483-nucleotide ribosomal RNA is filed under the name uncultured Pseudogulbenkiania sp. Its description in RNAcentral is "bacterial SSU rRNA". It matches the Rfam family "Bacterial small subunit ribosomal RNA", at positions 115 to 593 of the family's 1533-position model. Lineage: Bacteria; Pseudomonadati; Pseudomonadota; Betaproteobacteria; Neisseriales; Chromobacteriaceae. The record is from RNAcentral.